This 482-nucleotide ribosomal RNA is filed under the name uncultured bacterium. Its description in RNAcentral is "partial 16S ribosomal RNA". It matches the Rfam family "Bacterial small subunit ribosomal RNA", at positions 30 to 507 of the family's 1533-position model. The record is from RNAcentral.
UGACCGCUGGCGGCAGGCCUAACACAUGCACGUCGAGCGGAUGAAGGGAGCUUGCUCCUGGCUUCAGCGGCGGACGGGUGAGUAAUGCCUAGGAAUCUGCCUGGUAGUGGGGGAUAACGUCCGGAAACGGGCGCUAAUACCGCAUACGUCCUGAGGGAGAAAGUGGGGGAUCUUCGAACCUCACGCUAUCAGAUGAGCCUAGGUCGGAUUAGCUAGUUGGUGGGGUAAAGGCCUACCAAGGCGACGAUCCGUAACUGGUCUGAGAGGAUGAUCAGUCACACUGGAACUGAGACACGGUCCAGACUCCUACGGGAGGCAGCAGUGGGGAAUAUUGGACAAUGGGCGAAAGCCUGAUCCAGCCAUGCCGCGUGUGUGAAGAAGGUCUUCGGAUUGUAAAGCACUUUAAGUUGGGAGGAAGGGCAGUAAGUUAAUACCUUGCUGUUUUGACGUUACCAACAGAAUAAGCACCGGCUAACUUCGUG